Molecule: non-coding RNA, 771 nt
Organism: Micropterus salmoides (largemouth bass)
Lineage: Eukaryota; Metazoa; Chordata; Actinopteri; Centrarchiformes; Centrarchidae
Source: the annotation of a RefSeq genome assembly
UUUAACAUGAUGGACUAUAGGACAGGACUGCUGCUUUUAACUGUCUGCUGGGCAGGUGUUGAUGGUCAGACUCUGACAGAAUCUGAACCAGCUGUUAAAAGGCCUGGAGAAUCCCACAGAUUGACCUGUAAAACCUCUGGAUUGUCCUUCAGCAGCUACAGCAUGGCCUGGAUCAGACAGGCUCCUGGAAAAGGACUGGAGUGGGUUGCUACUAUAAGCGAUGGCAGUAGCUACAUCUACUACUCUCAGUCAGUUCAAGGCCGGUUUACCAUCUCCAGAGACAACAGCAAAGAGCAGCUGUAUCUGCAGAUGAACAGUCUGAAGACUGAAGAUUCUGCUGUUUAUUAUUGUGCUCGAGAGUCACAGUGACUGGAGUUGGUUGAGCAGCUGUACAAAAACCUACAGAUCUCACCAUUACUGUGCUGAUAGAUCCUGAGAAAGACUUCUGUUUUCUUUUACAUUUUUGUUGUUGUUGUAUUUAAUUAAACCGGGAAAUCAGGCCAUAGUUUCCUAGAUCAUCAUUAACCAACAGCAAUAAAUACAUAAAUAAAAAGUACUUAAUGUAUUAAUCACUUCAUCACAAAACAGCCAAUGACAUCAUUGUCCAGGUUUGAAACAAGAAAUACUACAUGUACACAUUUCAGUCAAAUUAAUUUAUUUAAGUAAUUUGGCAUCUCAUAAUAACAAUGUUGCAGUUCCUAUUUACAAACACUAGAGGGCAGGCAGGGUCAAGUUUCUCUCUCCUCUGUCUCUAUAAGGAGACUCUUAUGU